This 406-nucleotide ribosomal RNA is filed under the name uncultured bacterium. RNAcentral describes it as "bacterial SSU rRNA". It matches the Rfam family "Bacterial small subunit ribosomal RNA", at positions 355 to 776 of the family's 1533-position model. The record is from RNAcentral.
UUGGGAAUCUUGCACAAUGGGGGAAACCCUGAUGCAGCGACGCCGCGUGGAGGACGAAGGGUCUAGGCCUGUAAACUCCUUUUACCAGGAAAGACUUAGGACGGUACCUGGUGAAUAAGCCCCGGCUAACUACGUGCCAGCAGCCGCGGUAAGACGUAGGGGGCAAGCGUUGUCCGGAUUUACUGGGCGUAAAGGGCGCGUAGGCGGCCUGUUAAGUGUGAAGUGAAAUCUCCAGAGCUCAACUCGGAAACGGCUUUACAUACUGGCAGGCUUGAGGAAUGCAGAGGUGAAUAGAAUUCCUGGUGUAGCGGUGAAAUGCGUAGAUAUCAGGAGGAAUACCCAUGGCGAAGGCAGUUCACUGGGCAUUAUCUGACGCUGAGGCGCGAAAGCGUGGGGAGCAAACAGG